This 240-nucleotide unclassified non-coding RNA is filed under the name soil metagenome. RNAcentral's name for it is "partial contains 5.8S ribosomal RNA, internal transcribed spacer 2, and large subunit ribosomal RNA". The record is from RNAcentral.
AACACUGUUAACCUGCGGUACCUGCGGAAGGAUCAUUACCGAAGUUACUCUUCAUACCCUUUUGUGAACCCUACCAACCUUGCCGCGCGUUGCCUCGGCGGGGAGGUCCGGGAGGGGUUGCCGGGGCCCCGCGCCCCGGUCCCCCCCUCGGGCCCCCGCCGGCCGCGCCGAACUCUUCAUUUGCAAAGCGGACUGCAUGUUCUGAUUAUAUCUUGAAAACAAGUCAAAACUUUCAACAAU